UGUGGUUCCAGCUACUUGGGAGGCUGAGGCGGGAGGAUUGCUUGAGCCCAGGAGUUGGAGGCUGCAGCCAACUAGGAUUGUGCCACUGCACUCCAGCCUGGGCGACAGAGUGAGACCCUGUAUUAAAAAAAAAAGAAAAGAGGGCCAGGCACAGUGGCUCAUGCCUGUAAUCCCAGCACUUUGGGAGGCCGAGGCAGGCGGAUCACCUGAGGGCAGGAGUUCAAGACUAGCCUGGCCAACAUGGCGAAACCCAGUCUCUACUAAAAAAUACAAAAAUUAGCUGGGCAUGGUGGUGGGUACCUGUAAUCCCAGCUACUAGGGAGGCUGAAGCAGGGAGAAUUGCUUGAACCCAGGAGGCGGAGGUUGCAGUGAGCUGAGAUCACACCACUGCACUGCACUCCAGCCUGGGCAACAGAGCAAGACUCUGUUUUAAAAAAAAUCACCACGGAGGAACAGACAGACAUGUGUGGCUUUAGCUGUUACACUGAGAAGGACACAGUAUCACUUACACAGUCUUCCAGCCAGGAAUGCAUAAUCCAUAUAUUAUAAUGAAGAAACAAGUAGACAAACCCCAAAUGAAGAAUGUUCUAUUAAGAUAAAGGGGAAGAUUGAAUUCUUCAAUAAUAUCAACACCAUGCAGACAAAGAAAGGCUAACCAUUCCCGAUUAAGGGAUACUAGAGAGAAACAACAACCGAAUGCAAUACAGCAUUCUUAGACUUGAUCCUGUGCUAGAGGAGAAAUGGCAUCUAAAGGGUGUUACUGAGACAAGUGACAAAGUAACUUUGAUACCACAUUGGAUCAGUGUGAAAUUUAAUGCAGUGGAUAACUGUACUGUGGGAGGAAACACACUAUUUAGGGGUAGAGGAACAUGAGGUCUGCAACUUAUUCUCAACUAGAUUGGAAUCAAAGUCAUCUGUAUAUACCUUAAAUAGAGAGAUGGCCAGUGACAGAGAAAUGGGGUAAAAUGUGAACACCAGGUGAAUUUGGGACAAAGGCUAUGCAGAUGUCCAUUGUACUAUUCUUGAGACUUUUCUGUAACUUUGAAAUUAUUUCCAAAUAAAAAGUUAAACCAGGAAGGGCAUGGUGGCUCAUGCCUGUAAUCCCUUUGGGGAUUUGUAAGCACUUUGGGAAGCAGAGGAGGGUGGAUCACUUGAGGUCAAGAGUUCGAGACCAGUCUGGCCAAUAUGGUGACACUCUCUCUCUACUAAAAAUACAAAAAUUAGCCAGGUGUGGUGGCACGCGCCUGUGAUCCCAGCUACUUGGGAGGCUGAGGCAGGAGAAUCUCUUGAUCCUGGGAGGUGGAGGUUGUGGUGAGCGGAGAUUGCGCCAUUGCACUCCAGCCUGGGCAACAAGAGCGAAAC
This 1362-nucleotide long non-coding RNA is filed under the name Homo sapiens (human). RNAcentral's name for it is "HSALNT0385336". Lineage: Eukaryota; Metazoa; Chordata; Mammalia; Primates; Hominidae. The record is from RNAcentral.